RNAcentral lists this ribosomal RNA (253 nucleotides) under uncultured bacterium. Its description in RNAcentral is "partial 16S ribosomal RNA". It matches the Rfam family "Bacterial small subunit ribosomal RNA", at positions 524 to 776 of the family's 1533-position model. The record is from RNAcentral.
GACGAAGGGGGCUAGCGUUGUUCGGAAUUACUGGGCGUAAAGCGCGUGUAGGCGGUUGUUCAAGUCAGGUGUGAAAGCCUUGAGCUCAACUCAAGAAAUGCACUUGAUACUGGAUGACUGGAGGACCGGAGAGGAUAGUGGAAUUCCCAGUGUAGUGGUGAAAUACGUAGAGAUUGGGAAGAACACCAGUGGCGAAGGCGGCUAUCUGGACGGUUUCUGACGCUAAGGCGCGAAAGCGUGGGGAGCGAACAGG